GGCCCAGUGGUGUAACGGAAACACAGUUGUAUAAGAUGCAUGUUGUUGUGAAUUAAUUAUACAGAUAUUUCCUGUUCGACUCAGGGUAGGGCCG
Non-coding RNA from Mycena rebaudengoi, 94 nucleotides. The record is from the annotation of a GenBank genome assembly. Lineage: Eukaryota; Fungi; Basidiomycota; Agaricomycetes; Agaricales; Mycenaceae.